CAUGCAAGUCGAACGAGAAAGUGGAGCAAUCCAUGAGUAAAGUGGCGUACGGGUGAGUAACACGUGGGUAAUCUACCUUCUGGUGGGGGAUAACCCUGGGAAACCGGGGCUAAUACCGCAUAAGCUCGAGAGAGGAAAGGGGAAAUUCGCCGGAAGAGGAGCCCGCGGCUGAUUAGCUAGUUGGUAGGGUAAAGGCCUACCAAGGCAGAGAUCGGUAGCCGGCCUGAGAGGGCACACGGCCACACUGGCACUGAAACACGGGCCAGACUCCUACGGGAGGCAGCAGUGGGGAAUCUUGCACAAUGGGGGCAACCCUGAUGCAGCGACGCCGCGUGAGCGAUGAAGCCCUUCGGGGUGUAAAGCUCUUUCGGCAGGAACGAUAAUGACGGUACCUGAAGAAGAAGCUGCGGCUAACUACGUGCCAGCAGCCGCGGUAAUACGUAGGCAGCGAGCGUUGUUCGGAGUUACUGGGCGUAAAGAGUGCGUAGGCGGUUUUCUAAGUUUGGUGUGAAAUCUCCCGGCUUAACUGGGAGGGUGCGCCGAAAACUGGAAGGCUUGAGUAUGGGAGAGGUAGGCGGAAUUCCUGGUGUAGCGGUGAAAUGCGUAGAUAUCAGGAGGAACACCUGUGGUGUAGACAGCUUACUGGACCAUGACUGACGCUGAGGCACGAAAGCGUGGGGAGCAAACAGGAUUAGAUACCCUGGUAGUCCACGCCCUAAACGAUGCAUACUUGGUGUGAGCCAUUCAGUUGGUUCGUGCCGGAGCUAACGCGUUAAGUAUGCCGCCUGGGGAGUACG
RNAcentral lists this ribosomal RNA (797 nucleotides) under uncultured soil bacterium. RNAcentral's name for it is "bacterial SSU rRNA". It matches the Rfam family "Bacterial small subunit ribosomal RNA", at positions 54 to 884 of the family's 1533-position model. The record is from RNAcentral.